GAGGUUUCUCACCUAUCUCGUUCAAACUGAUUUUUCCACCGUGGUCAAAUGAAACACGUUUAACUCCUCUGCUUUAUUGUUGACAGCUAUUUCCCUAACCCCUAGUUCGUCUUCUCUCUUAAAUCUACUACAUAAAACCUGCAAAAUUUUCACCAAAAUCUCUUGCAAAAUUGGAAUCCUCAAAAGACCAAUAAGGGAAGAACGAUAGUCGACGUUCGAAUGGCUGGGAUGGCCAUCAUCAAUGCCACUGUCAAUGGAGGCUGUGGUGGAAGUGCUGGCACAAUUAACGAGUCCAUCCAAUCCUCUGACCCUGAAACUCUCAAAACCCGCGAGAUUUGAGGUUCGCACUCGUGAAAUAUUUUCGUGUUUCAUAUUUCUCAUUUUUCAACUGUUAAUAGUGAGUUUCAACUUUCAUGGUGUUAAUAUUAAUUUAUAUGCUGGGUGGCCGUGGAAAUUCAGUAGCUCGACAAGGUUAGUUAUUUUCACCAUUCACUACGGUCUUGCGAGUUCUCAAUAUUCAAUUAUCAAUCGAUGCUUCAAUUUUUUGUUUGACGAAAAUACCCCCAAUACAAUUCAGAUAUUUUUAGAUUCACCAAUACCGUAGUUGCAUGCGCUUUUUAGUCAUUUCACUGAUCUAAUGACGGUCACAUUCUUCGACUACCAAAAAAUGGGCAUGUAACGUGAAGUUUACAAAAAACAGCGAGUUUAAUCAACAAAAAUAUUGAAACUAAUAAACGUAAAAAAUGAAAAAUGGAAAGAAAUCGCAGAAAAAUAGAAGAUGAACACAGGAUUUUUCGCCCUAAGGCAAGAGGUUUGGAACUUCGUUCCUAAUCCCUUUUUGAGCUUCCGUCAAACCGGAAGAAAUCGCUAUAUGAACGAAUCAAUGAAGCUGUCCAGAUUGUACAUCUCGUAGCACUCAAAAUAUCACUCAAGAUUAUUCAACAUAAGCCUCACUAAUUGAUACGGCCAGUUACUCAAGAAUAGAUGAAGAUAAUCUGUACAAAUCACUCAAGAUUAUACAAUUUUGGGGCACAUAUCGAAGGAAGCUUUCUUGGACAGAUUCUUUAGAUCAAAAGAAGGAGAAUCAUCUCUUGAGAGAGAUGAAGCUGCGAAAUGAGAGAGAGAGAGAGAGUGAAAAAUCCAGAUUCUAGCACCAUCCAGGAACCCUAAUGAGGGUUAAGUAGAAGACCCUAGAAGUCUUGCAAUCCAACGGUGAGUAAUACGACACUUGGCAAGAUCAUAACCAUUGCUUCAGUUGUAUAGAAAGCAUGUUUUAAUAACACGAUUUUUGCCAACAUUAAGUAAACCAUUUAUCUGUUGGACUAAUCGGCCCAGCAGCCUAGCCGAAGUAUUAAGUCAGCCCAACAUCAUUGUGCCACAUUUCUUCACAUUCUCCACCUUGGUACAAUGAUUCUAGUUUCAUCUAUAGUGAUUUAUCCAGUUUUUGAUAUCAUUUGCUCUUAUUCCCGAUACACAAAUUAGCAAGAGUUAAUAUUCAGCUAUUUUAAACAGUCCAAACACUUGUUUAAAGGCAGCACUUUGGUUCUAAUAUCAGCAGGAUUAAAUUGUGUAGAAAUCUUUUUAAGUUUAAUAACACCUUGAGAAAUUACAUCUCUAAUAAAAUGAAAUUUCACAACAACAUGUUUUGAUCUAUUACGAAGCACAGGAUUUCUACUCAAAUAUAUAGUAGAUUGGCUAUCGAAAUGCAAGACAACAUCAUUUAUGAAACCAAAUUCAUUUAAAAGUCAUUUUAGUCAAAUUCCUUCUUUAAUUGCAUCAGUAGCAGAUAUAUAUUCUGCUUCCGUUGAAGAUAAAGCAACAAUCUUUUGUAAUUUUGAUUUUCAGCUUAUACAGGAAUUACAUAAAGUGUACACAUAGGCAGAAGUUAAUUUUUUGUUGUCCCUAUCACCUGCAUAAUCAGAAUCUGUGUAACUCCUGGAGAUAACACUUUCAGAUUGCUUUUUAUACUCAAUUCCUAGGUCACAAGUUCCUUUUAUAUAUCUUAGAAGCCACUUCAUAGCUUUCCAAUGAACCUCACCAAGAUUGGACAUGUAUCUACUCAAUACAAUUAUUGCAAAUGCCAAAUCAGGCCUAGAACAAAUCAUUAGAUAUAUAACUAACCCCACAACAUUAGAAUAUGGCACUUUAGCCAUUCUUUUGAGCUUUUCUUCAGUUUUGGGAGAUUGUUCAUUAGAUAAUUUGAAGUAUUUUCAAAGCAUAACAUUUUUUAUUUAGACUUAUUAUGCCCUCUUCUAUUUCUUUAAUUUCGAUACCCAAAAUUUUUCUAACAAGAGCUAAGUCCUUCAUUUCAAAAUCAGAUUUUAGUUUGUCUUUAAUUAACUCUAUUUUCUUUAUGUCAUAACUAGCCAAAAUCAUGUUGUCCACAUAAAGUAGAAGAUAGAGUGAAUUCUCACCUCCGUUUCCUUUACAAUAAAGACAAGUAUUGAAAUUAUUUCUUUUAAAACCAAGUCCAAGUACAAAAGUGUCAAAUCUCUUAUACCAUUGUCUUGGAGUUUGUUUUAAACCAUAAAAUGACUUUUUAAGAAGGCAUACUAAGUCAGAAUUUUUAUUCAUUUCAAAACCUUUUGGUUGUUCCAUAAAAAUAGUUUCUUCAAGAUCUACAUUUAAAAACGUAGUUUUUACAUCUAAUUGAUCCAAUUCCCAAUCAAAUUGAGCUGCAAAGGCAAUUAUGACUCUUAACAGUUGUAAAUUUUACAACGAGGGAAAAUAUUUCAUUAAAGUCUAUCCCCUCCUUUUGAGCAAAACCCUUGGCCACAAGUCUUGCCUUAUAUCUAAUGUCCUUCUCAUCUUUUUCACCUAUUUUGAUCUUAUAGAUCCACUUGUAAUCUAUAACUCUCUUUCCCUUUAGGUUUCUUGACUAAGGUCCAAGUUUUAUUAUUUCUCAAAGAUUCCAUCUCAUCAUGCAUUGAUGCAAGCCAAUGCUUAGAGUCCUUACUACUCAUAGCAUCUUUAUAGGACUCGGGUUCAUUCUCAAUGAACUCCUAAACAGUAAGAAGGGACAUUUCAUCAUCAAACCUCACAGGUGGUCUUAUUUGUCUCCUUUCUCUAUCUUUGCAAGUUGAUAAUCAUUUAAGGGUUGAUUUACUUCAAAAUCAGAUUCAUUCAGAUAAGUUUCAUCGAUAUUUUGAACCUCAAUUUCACUAUUUCCAAACUGAUCAGGUUGUAGAUUAUCAUUAUUAACUUGCUCCACCUUAAUUUAAGUUUCCCUUCUUUCAUUUUCAGUUUGACCAAAUUCAGUUGUGUUAUUUUCAGAUUUCAAACAAGGUAUAUCAGAUUCAUUAAACACCACAUUUUUACUCAAAAUGAUCUUAUAGCCUUUGGUCUCUUUUACCGAAAGUCCAUACCCCUUCACCCUUUCACCAUAGCCCAAGAAAACAUACUUUAGGGCUCUAGGUUCAAGUUUUCCUUCAGAUUGGUGUGCAAAUAUUGCACAAACAAAUAUUUUUAGAUUUCUCAAAUCUACAGAUUUUUCUGUCCAAACUUCUUCGAGCGAUUUGAAUUGUAUAGCAUUAGCGAGGCUUCUAUUUAUGAGAUAACUAGCAGUUUUUGCAACUUCUCCCCAAAAUAACUUGGGAAGACCAGAACCUAGUAAGAUACAUCUAACUCUUUCAAGAAUAGUUCGGUUCAUUCUUUUAGCCAAGCCAUUUUGUUGUGGGGUGUGUGUCACUGUUCUGUGUUUUAGAAUACUAGACUCUUUACACAAUUCAUCAAAUUCAUAUUUGCAAAAUUCAAGCCCGUUAUCAAUCCUCAACACUUUAAUCUUUUUAUUUGUUUGAUUUUCAAUGAAGAUUUUCCAUUCUUUGAAAGCAUUAAAAAUGUCAGACUUAUGUUUAAGUAGAAAGAGCCAGUUUUUCCUAAAAAAUCAUCUACGAUUAAAAGGAAAAAUCUGAAACCAGUAUAGGUGAAACCAGUAUGUGUGGGCAUAGAAGCUGGUCCCCAAAUAUCAGCAUGCAAGUACUCAAUAAUAGACACAGAUUUAUGCAUCCCUGGCAAAAAUGGUAGUCUAUUUUGUUUUUCUAGUAUGCAAUGAUCACAAAAACUGAGUUUCUUAACUAUAUCUUUACCAAAGGUACCUUGUUUUUUAAAAAUUUGCAUUCCUUUGUCACUAAUAUGGCCCAAUCUUUUAUUUCAUAGUUGUGACUUAUCACUGGGGGCAAAAAUUGUUGCUGAUGUGGAGUCAAAAAAGUUUUGAGUGUGUAAAAUGUAAGGCCCAUGUCUCUUGGGGGCUUCAGCAACAAGUUGAGAGCCCCUCAAGAUUUUAAUGUAUUCCUUGUUAAUCACAAUAUUAUAGUUCAGGUCAUCUAAGACACCUAAGGAUAUGAGAUUUCUUUGUAGGUCAGGAACAUACCUGAUUUUUUUCUAAAGUCAAUUCAUUAUUAUCGUCAAACCUUAAGGUGAUUGUUCUUGUUCUUUUUACCUGACAAGACAUGUGAUUACCCAUUAACACUUGGCAUCCAUUUACAUUUUCAAACUCAAUAAAUCACUCUCUUUUAGGACAAAUGUGAAAGGUGCAACCAGAGUCAAGGAUUCACUUCUGACUAGGUUGUGCAGCAACAUAAACCUCAUCUAUGUUGUACUCAUUUUUAUAAGCCAAGGUAGCACCACCAUCAAUAUUAGACUUAUUUUUCAAAUCAUUAUGUCUCUUAUGGCAAUCUUUGAUAAAAUGACCUUCACCUAGACAGCAAAAAUAUUUUUUUACCCUUAGUCUUGUUUUUCAUUUUAUCUUUAAAGUUUACCUUCUUCUUCAGUCCAGGUUUUUUAUUAAAAUUGGCCAUCUUUGGAUUUGGAUUAGGUUUGGACUUAAUCAUCAAAUUUUCACCACUAACAGAUUCUCUCUUUUCAGAUUUUAACUCUAACUCUUUGCUUUUCAAUGCAUUUAUUAUCACGUCAGUAGUUAGAGUCUCCCCUCCAUAUUCAAUAGCAUUUUUAACAUCUCUAUAUUUAUCAUUUAUUGAAUUUAAAAAAAUCACAGCCAACUGAUCUUUUGAGUUUCUCAUCACAGUCGGCUAGGUCACGGGAUAAUCUGUUGAAUCUAUCAAUAUUUGCCUCAAGAUCAAGAGAUGGGUCCAAUUUGAAACCAAAAAAAUUGUUUUAGAAGAUACACUUUAUUAGGCAUGAUUUUAUUCAAAUAAGUAUCUUCUAAUUUCUUCCACAACUCAGCAACAGUUUUUGUCUCACCAAUCUCUUUUAACACACUGUUAGACAAAUGCAAGAAUAGAAAACUCCGUGCAAUUUCAUCAAGUUCAAUUUUCUCAGUUUCUUCCAUAUCAUCAGGCUAUGACUCAUCAAUGGCUUUUGCACAUUUUUAUCGAAAUAAAAGAGCUCGCAUUUUCUGGUGCUAGAGACUAAAAUCUCCUUUACCAUUAAAGAUUUUCAAUUCAACUUUAGUUGACAUAAUCAAAACACAAUUUGAUUUGACAGUGCAGGUAGAUCACAUAAAUUUUGAACAAUAUCUACAACAUUUGUUUAUUAUUAUGAGAAUUAAUCCUAGCAGUAUCUCAAAUGUCAUACACAAUAAUCAAUAUAAAGUGUACAACCAGCAAGUUGUAUGUCACAAAUUAUUCGGCAGCUACACUCAGCAGUUCAUUUAAUUUCCAAAUAAGCAGUUUACUAAAAAAACAGCAAAUUAUCAAUUCACAGUAAUAUAAUGACAGCAUCCUUUAUACAUUUUAUAUAGGAUACUUGCAAGAAUCAUAAAAAGAAUAUUAAACCAUUGACCUUUACUCAAGAUAGCCCUCAGAUUCCAAACAACUCACGGUUUCUGGACUAAAGCACUAUCAAGAAGUCUUCGAUUUAUUAAUUUUUACCACAAUUGCAAGGGUCACAGGAUAUAGUCAGGUAAGGUAUACUGUAACUUGAAGAUAAAUGAAACGAACUCACCAAAAAACCCUUAUUAGGGUUUCAAGAAGCAACCGAAAUUUACUGAACCAGUUCGAGGACUCUUCGAAUCUGCCGACACUAGUACCAAGAACCCCCGUCACGAGCUCUGAUACCAUUGUAACACGAAGUUCACAAAAAAACAGCGAGUUUAAUCAACAAAAAUACUGAAACUAAUAAACAUAAAAAAUGAAAAAUGGAAAGAAAUCGCAGAAAAAUAAAAGAUGAACACAAGAUUUUUCGCCCUAAGUCCAGAGGUUCGAAACAUCGUUCCUGAUCCCCUUUUGAGCUUCCGUCAAAUAGGAAGAAAACACUAUAUCAACGAAUCAAUGAAGCUAUCCAGAUUGUACAUCUCAUAGCACUCAGAAUAUCACUCAAGAUUAUUCAACAUAAAUCUCACUAAUCGAUACAGCCAUUCACUCAUGAAUAAAUGAAGAUAAUCUAUACAAAUCACUCAAGAUUAUACAAUUUUGGGGCUCAUAUCGAAGGAAGCUUUCUUGGACAGAUUCUUUAGAUCGAAAGAAGGAGAAUCGUCUCUUGAGAGAGAUGAAGCGACGGAAUGAGAGAGUGAAAAAUUUAGAUUCUAGCACAAUCUAGGAACCUUAAUGAGGGUUAAGUAGAAGACCUUGGAAGUCUUGCAAUCCAACGAUGAGUAAUAUGACACUUGGCAAGAUCAUAACCAUUGCUUCAAUUGUAUAGAAAGCGUGUUUUAGUAACACAAUUUUUGCCAACGUUAAGUAAACCAUUUAUCUUUUGGACUAACCAGCCCAGCAGAAGUAUUAAGUCAGCCCAACAUCAUUGUGCCACAUUUCUUCAUGGGGUAACUUUUUUCAAUGUAAAUUUUCAAAGUUAGAGGAACACAAGAAGAUUGAUUAUAGAAUGACUUCUCACUUUUCUUGUUACCCCCUUUGUCGAAUCCAUUAUUGUUAAGAUUGAAAUUACAAAAACACCCCUUAUCCUAAAGGUAAUUUGUCCAUCCAAUUAUCGAUUUUUUUUUUUAUUUGGGCGCAUAAACAGAAGCUGUCGUUUAAAGAAUAUUUGUGUCAAAUGUUUUGGAGUCAGUAGAGGGGUAUUUUGGUUGAUUCAUGAUUGUUGAUGCUCCUUUGUAAUCGGCGGCAUGUUUUCGUGGCAAUUUGGAGAAGUUUAUUUAGUGGUUGAGUGCUUAGUUUUUUUCCAAUUAUGGGGACACAAAGUAUGAUAGGUUGCAUUGUGAUUCUGUACAUAAUUAGCCAACUUCAAGUUUGUUAAGAAUAAUGUUUAUUCCUUCGUUCUUAGGAUUAAAUUUAUCUUUUAAUGCAGUGAAAUUUGAAGAAUACCAGCUUUAUCUUUUCUUUUUGGGUAAAAGGACUCAAUGUGAUGUUAUUUGCUGUGAUAUAUAUGCUUGAAAGAGUGUUAUGAGAGAUCUUUUUCUAUGAAUUUGGGUCUCUUUUAACUUGUGAGUCCCAGUAGAUUUGGUUAUAUGUUAUUAGUGUAGUUUAUUUUAAAUUUUGAAGUAGUUUAAACCUUUUGUUGUUUAUAGCUUUAUAUUAUAUUUGAGGCAUUGAGGUUUUAAAUUUUACUCUUUGUGGUCCAUUGAAUAAAUAUGACAGAAUAAAUUAUUGCAUCUUGCUUAUUUGAGUUUUGAUUAAAUAAGUUCAAUGCCAUGGGGGCGUUGAAACUGUAGUGUAAUACCAAAUGCCAAAAUAUAUGACAAGUCCGUGUAGUAUGCGUGCAUUCAAGUUUAUGUUUAUUAAAGAAAAUAACCUUGGAUAAAACAUUUUGUGAUGAGAGAAAGAUGGAUGAUAUCCUCUUGAUGCUAAUGUAAAUGUUAAUGCUUCAUACUUGGAUGAGAUGGUAUGAUAUUUGAUCCAUUUUGUUUACAAGUUGGUGUGUACGUUUUGUUGUAGUUCUUCUAUUUUUUUUUCAUGGCGCAGUUGGGCCAUCCCGUAUAUGAUAGAGACCAACAAAUGGAACCAGCUUAAUAUUAUUGAACUUGGAGGAAGACUUACCUUAGCACAGGUAGAAGCAUGUUUAUAUGAUGAUGGGAAUUUGAUCUUAUGGGAAUCAAAUGAUAUUGUAUUUGCAUUUAAAUUUGAAAAAUUUCCAGGAUAUGGAGUAUUUUUUUAGUUGAAUAUUAAUUGUUAUACCAACGUGUGCACAUGAAUAAGUAGGAGAAUUAAUGGUAAACAUUUUUUUGUGUGCGAUGGUUGCUUAAUAUUAUUGGGCUUUCUUGUCGGCUUUGGCCACACUUUCAGUUUUACAAAUUUUAAGCAGAUAAAUUUGUCCACAUUCAUUUAAUAUUCCUUAAAAAACAUUCUAUUAAAAUAUCGUCUUUCUUGUGUGAUGGUGUAGAAGCCAAAUUAUUGUUCCUAGAUUCUCCAAUUGGCGUUGGAUUUUCAUACUCAAGCAUGAGUGGUGAUUAUGAUAUUCUCGGAGAUGACUUUGCCGGUAUGUCAAACUUUAUGUUAACUCUUAAAUACACCGACACCCCCAAUCAUAAUUUGUCAAUCUAACAUAAAAGUUCAUGAAAAUUGUGCACAUAUUAGGCUUUUCAUAAGAAAUGAGCUGUCCUGUGGGACAUGUUGAAAACUAAAUUUAGAUAAAUAAAUGUACUCUCUCUCUAGCUGUUUAAACUUUUAGAUAUUCAUUUUGUAGCCAAUGAUUCCUAUGUUUUCCUACGCAAGAGGUUCCUUAAGUUUCCAUCAUACACGAUGAGGAAAUUUUAUAUUGCUAAGGAGAAUUAUAAAGGUACAUUGUGUUGUUGUUAGUUUUCUGAUUGGUGUCAAUUACUAGAAUAUUCAUGCUCAUAUAUGUACGCUGGAUGCUUUUCGACAGGCGGAUAUGUUCCUUAGCUGGCUGAACUCAUUCAUUAUGAGAACAAAGAUCCCUCUUUAUUGAUAGAUCUUAAAGGCAUUAUGGUGUAAUUCGGUUCCCAUUUAAUUCAAGGACUGAGUUUCAAGAUUAGUGCCAGGACCCUAAGAUUUUAAAUGGAGCAAAUGAUCACAGACAGACGUUCAAUGCUAACCGAUAAUUUUAUUGCAGCUGGGCAAUUGCAAAACAUGUGACAUAGAGGUACUUGACACUUAUCAGGGACAGAGUGUGCUUCUUGAUGAGGGGUAGUAUGUUUGAUUGGAUUUAUGGUGACAAUUCAUUGGCUAAUGAUGCAUAAUAUUAUAACUGGUGCUUUCUUUGUUCUUGGUCUUAUUUUCACAUUCAUUACACGUUCAUUUUGUAGAUGUUAAAUUGAUUGCUAUCUUCUUUAGGCAAUGUUUAAAUAAUUAAUAUAUGCUUAUGUCUAUACAGAUUCUUGGUUGACU
Molecule: long non-coding RNA, 9194 nt
Filed under: Olea europaea subsp. europaea
Lineage: Eukaryota; Viridiplantae; Streptophyta; Magnoliopsida; Lamiales; Oleaceae
Source: RNAcentral